UCUUUUCUGCUGUGUGCGUGAGUUCGAUUUGUUUUGAACCAACACAUUUACAUUGGGAGCCAGAGCUCAUCGUGGCGUAAAUGCCCUUGGUACUAGCGUUGCUGGUGAGGGACUUAUAAAGCGGUGAUGAUGGCACCCACCUGCGAGAGCGGGAUUCAAAAACAGAAAGGGCUCACGGCAUGGUGGAGAGUAU
This 193-nucleotide non-coding RNA is filed under the name Bacillota bacterium. RNAcentral's name for it is "Firmicutes bacterium (anaerobic digester metagenome) 6S RNA". It matches the Rfam family "6S / SsrS RNA". Rfam says of the family: E. coli 6S RNA was the first non coding RNA to be sequenced, but its function was unknown until recently. It consists of 184 nucleotides that fold into an extended hairpin structure with a large single-stranded internal bulge. The record is from RNAcentral. Lineage: Bacteria; Bacillati; Bacillota.